Molecule: transfer RNA, 73 nt
Filed under: Camelus bactrianus (Bactrian camel)
Lineage: Eukaryota; Metazoa; Chordata; Mammalia; Artiodactyla; Camelidae
Also listed under: 2 other names
Rfam family: tRNA
About the family: Transfer RNA (tRNA) molecules are approximately 80 nucleotides in length. Their secondary structure includes four short double-helical elements and three loops (D, anti-codon, and T loops).
Source: Rfam by way of RNAcentral
GAGGGUAUAGCUCAGGUGGUAGAGCACAUGCUUAACAUGCACAAGGUCCUGGGUUCAAUCCCCAGUACCUUCU